This 254-nucleotide ribosomal RNA is filed under the name uncultured bacterium. Its description in RNAcentral is "partial 16S ribosomal RNA". It matches the Rfam family "Bacterial small subunit ribosomal RNA", at positions 524 to 776 of the family's 1533-position model. The record is from RNAcentral.
UACGGGGGGAGCAAGCGUUGUUCGGAUUUACUGGGCGUAAAGGGCGCGUAGGCGGUCGUGACAAGUCACUUGUGAAAUCUCCGGGCUUAACUCGGAACGGUCAAGUGAUACUGUCGGACUAGAGUACAGAAGGGGCAACUGGAAUUCUCGGUGUAGCGGUGAAAUGCGUAGAUAUCAUUUGGAACGCCAAUGGUGAAAACAGGUAGCUGGGGCUGUGCUGACACUGAGACACGAAAGCCAGGGGAGCGAACGGG